Molecule: ribosomal RNA, 497 nt
Filed under: uncultured bacterium
Lineage: Bacteria
Description: partial 16S ribosomal RNA
Rfam family: Bacterial small subunit ribosomal RNA
Source: RNAcentral
GAUGAACGCUGGCGGCGUGCCUAAUACAUGCAAGUCGAGCGAACGGACGAGAAGCUUGCUUCUCUGAUGUUAGCGGCGGACGGGUGAGUAACACGUGGAUAACCUACCUAUAAGACUGGGAUAACUUCGGGAAACCGGAGCUAAUACCGGAUAAUAUUUUGAACCGCAUGGUUCAAAAGUGAAAGACGGUCUUGCUGUCACUUAUAGAUGGAUCCGCGCUGCAUUAGCUAGUUGGUAAGGUAACGGCUUACCAAGGCAACGAUGCAUAGCCGACCUGAGAGGGGGAUCGGCGACACUGGAACUGAGACACGGUCCUGACGCCUACGAGAGGGAGCAGUAGGGAAUCUGAGGCAAUGGGGGAAAGCCUGACGGAGCAACGCGAAGUGAGUGAUGAAGGUCUUCGGAGCGGAAAACUCUGUUAUUAGGGAAGAACAUAUGUGUAAGUAACUGUGCACAGAUUGACGGUAACUAAUCAGAAAGCCACGGCUAACUACGUG